AAUCCAGAAUAGUGGGACAAAGGUACAGGACGGCAGGCAGGGUCAGGGUCAGGUCAGGCAGAGGUUGGUAAUCCAGAGUAGUGGGACAAAGGUACAGGACGGCAGGCAGGGUCAGGGUCAGGUCAGGCAGAGGUUGGUAAUCCAGAAUAGUGGGACAAAGGUACAGGACGGCAUGCAGGGUCAUGGUCAAAUCAGGCAGAGGUUGGUAAUCCAGAAUAGUGGGACAAAGGUACAGGACGGCAUGCAGGGUCAUGGUCAGGUCAGGCAGAGGUUGGUAAUCCAGAAUAGUGGGACAAAGGUACAGGACGGCAGGCAGGGUCAGGUCAGGCAGAGGUUGGUAAUCCAGAAUAGUGGGACAAAGGUACAGGACGGCAUGCAGGGUCAU
Long non-coding RNA from Oncorhynchus keta (chum salmon), 385 nucleotides. RefSeq lists it as uncharacterized. The transcript has 3 exons. The record is from RefSeq and is a predicted model, not a curated record. Lineage: Eukaryota; Metazoa; Chordata; Actinopteri; Salmoniformes; Salmonidae.